CCAUGCCGUAAACGGUGGGCGCUAGGUGUGAGACCCUUCCACGGGUUUUGUGCCGUAGCUAACGCAUUAAGCGCCCCGCCUGGGGAGUACGGCCGCAAGGCUAAAACUCAAAGGAAUUGACGGGGGCCCGCACAAGCGGCGGAGCAUGUGGAUUAAUUCGAUGCAACGCGAAGAACCUUACCUGGGCUUGACAUAUUUAGGUUCGCGGCAGAGAUGUCGUUUCCCUUUGUGGCCUUUAUACAGGUGGUGCAUGGUUGU
Molecule: ribosomal RNA, 258 nt
Filed under: uncultured bacterium
Lineage: Bacteria
Description: partial 16S ribosomal RNA
Rfam family: Bacterial small subunit ribosomal RNA
Source: RNAcentral